RNAcentral lists this transfer RNA (72 nucleotides) under Ovis aries (sheep). It matches the Rfam family "tRNA". Rfam says of the family: Transfer RNA (tRNA) molecules are approximately 80 nucleotides in length. The record is from Rfam by way of RNAcentral. Lineage: Eukaryota; Metazoa; Chordata; Mammalia; Artiodactyla; Bovidae.
UCCCUGAUGGCUCAGCAGUAAGAGAAUCUGCCUGCAAUGCAGGAGGCAUGGGUUCAAUUCCUGGGUAGGGAA